This 466-nucleotide ribosomal RNA is filed under the name uncultured bacterium. Its description in RNAcentral is "bacterial SSU rRNA". It matches the Rfam family "Bacterial small subunit ribosomal RNA", at positions 329 to 792 of the family's 1533-position model. The record is from RNAcentral.
UACCAGACUCCUACGGGAGGCAGCAGUGAGGAAUAUUGGUCAAUGGCCGAGAGGCUGAACCAGCCAAGUCGCGUGAGGGAAGAAUGUCCUAAGGAUUGUAAACCUCUUUUGUCGGGGAGCAAAAAGGCUCUGCGGAGUCGUAUUGAGAGUACCCGAAGAAAAAGCAUCGGCUAACUCCGUGCCAGCAGCCGCGGUAAUACAUAGGGAGCAAGCGUUAUCCGGAUUUAUUGGGUGUAAAGGGUGCGUAGACGGGAAAUUAAGUUAGUUGUGAAAUCCCUCGGCUUAACUGAGGAACUGCAACUAAAACUGAUUUUCUUGAGUACUGGAGAGGAAAGUGGAAUUCCUAGUGUAGCGGUGAAAUGCGUAGAUAUUAGGAGGAACACCAGUGGCGAAGGCGACUUUCUGGACAGUAACUGACGUUGAGGCACGAAAGUGUGGGGAGCAAACAGGAUUAGAUACCCUAGUA